This is a non-coding RNA of Pseudophryne corroboree (corroboree frog), 130 nucleotides long. Lineage: Eukaryota; Metazoa; Chordata; Amphibia; Anura; Myobatrachidae. The record is from RefSeq and is a predicted model, not a curated record.
GUGGCAGGUACUUCUUGGUUGCAUUGAUUAAGCAGUUUAAUGUGACUCCAGACUGCCACACAGAUAAAAUGGUUCCUGCCGACAGGACCUGAAGAGAUAUCGGGCUUCCUGUGCGAUGGCUCCAUACAUU